Molecule: ribosomal RNA, 309 nt
Filed under: uncultured bacterium
Lineage: Bacteria
Description: partial 16S ribosomal RNA
Rfam family: Bacterial small subunit ribosomal RNA
Source: RNAcentral
AGAGACAGCAGCCGCCGCGGGAAUACAGAGGGUGCGAGCGUUAAUCGGAUUUACUGGGCGUAAAGCGUGCGUAGGCGGCUUUUUAAGUCGGAUGUGAAAUCCCUGAGCUUAACUUAGGAAUUGCAUUCGAUACUGGGAAGCUAGAGUAUGGGAGAGGAUGGUAGAAUUCCAGGUGUAGCGGUGAAAUGCGUAGAGAUCUGGAGGAAUACCGAUGGCGAAGGCAGCCAUCUGGCCUAAUACUGACGCUGAGGUACGAAAGCAUGGGGAGCAAACAGGAUUAGAUACCCCUGUAGUCCCUGUCUCUUAUAA